This 253-nucleotide ribosomal RNA is filed under the name uncultured bacterium. RNAcentral describes it as "partial 16S ribosomal RNA". It matches the Rfam family "Bacterial small subunit ribosomal RNA", at positions 524 to 776 of the family's 1533-position model. The record is from RNAcentral.
UACGGAGGGUGCAAGCGUUAUCCGGAUUCACUGGGUUUAAAGGGUGCGUAGGCGGGCGGAUAAGUCAGUGGUGAAAUCCCCGGGCUUAACCUGGGAACUGCAUUGGUGGCUGCAUCGCUCGAGUAUGGCAGAGGGGGGUAGAAUUCCACGUGUAGCAGUGAAAUGCGUAGAUAUGUGGAGGAGUACCGAUGGCGAAGGCAGCCCCCUGGGAUAACACUGACGCUCAUGCACGAAAGCGUGGGGAGCAAACAGG